Molecule: ribosomal RNA, 531 nt
Filed under: uncultured Flavobacterium sp.
Lineage: Bacteria; Pseudomonadati; Bacteroidota; Flavobacteriia; Flavobacteriales; Flavobacteriaceae
Description: bacterial SSU rRNA
Rfam family: Bacterial small subunit ribosomal RNA
Source: RNAcentral
AGAGACCGGCGCACGGGUGCGUAACGCGUAUGCAAUCUACCUUUCACAGAGGGAUAGCCCAGAGAAAUUUGGAUUAAUACCUCAUAGUAUAUCGAGUUGGCAUCAACAUGAUAUUAAAGUCACAACGGUGAAAGAUGAGCAUGCGUCCCAUUAGCUAGUUGGUAAGGUAACGGCUUACCAAGGCAACGAUGGGUAGGGGUCCUGAGAGGGAGAUCCCCCACACUGGUACUGAGACACGGACCAGACUCCUACGGGAGGCAGCAGUGAGGAAUAUUGGACAAUGGGCGCAAGCCUGAUCCAGCCAUGCCGCGUGCAGGAUGACGGUCCUAUGGAUUGUAAACUGCUUUUAUACGAGAAGAAACACUCCUUCGUGAAGGAGCUUGACGGUAUCGUAAGAAUAAGGAUCGGCUAACUCCGUGCCAGCAGCCGCGGUAAUACGGAGGAUCCAAGCGUUAUCCGGAAUCAUUGGGUUUAAAGGGUCCGUAGGCGGUUUAGUAAGUCAGUGGUGAAAGCCCAUCGCUCAACGGUGGA